RNAcentral lists this ribosomal RNA (446 nucleotides) under Streptococcus sp. oral taxon C65. Its description in RNAcentral is "bacterial SSU rRNA". It matches the Rfam family "Bacterial small subunit ribosomal RNA", at positions 28 to 464 of the family's 1533-position model. The record is from RNAcentral. Lineage: Bacteria; Bacillati; Bacillota; Bacilli; Lactobacillales; Streptococcaceae.
GACGAACGCUGGCGGCGUGCCUAAUACAUGCAAGUAGAACGCUGAAGAGAGGAGCUUGCUCUUCUUGGAUGAGUUGCGAACGGGUGAGUAACGCGUAGGUAACCUGCCUUGUAGCGGGGGAUAACUAUUGGAAACGAUAGCUAAUACCGCAUAACAAUGGGUGACACAUGUCAUUUAUUUGAAAGGGGCAAUUGCUCCACUACAAGAUGGACCUGCGUUGUAUUAGCUAGUAGGUGAGGUAACGGCUCACCUAGGCGACGAUACAUAGCCGACCUGAGAGGGUGAUCGGCCACACUGGGACUGAGACACGGCCCAGACUCCUACGGGAGGCAGCAGUAGGGAAUCUUCGGCAAUGGGGGCAACCCUGACCGAGCAACGCCGCGUGAGUGAAGAAGGUUUUCGGAUCGUAAAGCUCUGUUGUAAGUCAAGAACGAGUGUGAGAGUGG